AGCAGCCGCGGUAAUUCCAGCUCCAAUAGCGUAUAUUAAAGUUGUUGCAGUUAAAAAGCUCGUAGUUGAAUUUCGGGAUUGACGUGAUGGUCGUGCCUUACGGGGUAUGAACUGUUGCAGUCAAUUUCUCACCUUCUGGAGAAAUAUGAUGUCCUUAAUUGGGUGUCAUAUGGAACCAGAACUUUUACCUUGAAAAAAUUAGAGUGUUUAAAGCAGGCUUAUUGCUCGAAUACAUUAGCAUGGAAUAAUAAAAUAGGACGGCAUGGUUCUAUUUUGUUGGUUUCUAGGAUCACCGUAAUGAUUAAUAGGGAUAGUUGGGGGCAUUAGUAUUCAAUUGUCAGAGGUGAAAUUCUUGGAUUUAUUGAAGACUAACUACUGCGAAAGCAUUUGCCAAGGAUGUUUUCAUUAAUCAAGAACGAAAGUUAGGGGAUCGAAGACGAUCAGAUACCGUCGUAGUCUUAACCAUAAACUAUGCCGACAAGGAAUCAGACGAUGUUAAUUUUUAAUGAC
Molecule: ribosomal RNA, 510 nt
Filed under: uncultured Entrophospora
Lineage: Eukaryota; Fungi; Glomeromycota; Glomeromycetes; Entrophosporales; Entrophosporaceae
Description: SSU rRNA
Rfam family: Eukaryotic small subunit ribosomal RNA
Source: RNAcentral